This 253-nucleotide ribosomal RNA is filed under the name uncultured bacterium. Its description in RNAcentral is "partial 16S ribosomal RNA". It matches the Rfam family "Bacterial small subunit ribosomal RNA", at positions 524 to 776 of the family's 1533-position model. The record is from RNAcentral.
UACAGAGGGUGCAAGCGUUGUUCGGAAUCAUUGGGCGUAAAGGGCGUGUAGGCGGUCUGUUAAGUCAUGUGUGAAAUCCCUCGGCUCAACCGGGGAACGACGCAUGAAACUGACAAGCUAGAGUACCAAAGAGGGUCGCGGAAUUCCCGGUGUAGAGGUGAAAUGCGUAGAUAUCUGGAGGAACACCGGUGGCGAAGGCGGCAUCCUGGACCAAUUCUGACGCUGAGGAGCGAAAGCCAGGGGAGCAAACGGG